UACCAAACAGGUAACUGGCCUUCCACCGCAAUGUUCUAAGUUAUCUUUAUAAUUUUGGUAAUAAACUCCUACGAGCCGGUAAUUAUAUCCUACAAAUUUAGAUAACACUCUUUACCAUAAUUUUCAUUAAGUGUAGUACAAAUGUUUCCCGUUGUGGUGCUGAUGAGAUCUACAUUUUGGUGUAGUUUAUUACCCUGGAGUUUUAGUUUUCGCUUAGCUCAACUCAAGUCAACAUGACGAAAUUAAUCCAGUGCUGCCCGUG
Folsomia candida is the source of this 262-nucleotide long non-coding RNA. RefSeq lists it as uncharacterized. The transcript is spliced from 2 exons. NCBI's taxonomy places the organism in Eukaryota, Metazoa, Arthropoda, Collembola, Entomobryomorpha, Isotomidae. The record is from RefSeq and is a predicted model, not a curated record.